RNAcentral lists this ribosomal RNA (253 nucleotides) under uncultured bacterium. RNAcentral's name for it is "partial 16S ribosomal RNA". It matches the Rfam family "Bacterial small subunit ribosomal RNA", at positions 524 to 776 of the family's 1533-position model. The record is from RNAcentral.
UACAGAGGGUGCAAGCGUUAAUCGGAAUGACUGGGCGUAAAGCGCGCGUAGGCGGUUUGUUGCGUGAGAGGUGAAAGACCUGGGCUUAACCUGGGAAAGGCCUUUCAAACGGGCAGACUGGAGUAUAGGAGAGGUGAGUGGAAUUUCCGGUGUAGCGGUGAAAUGCGUAGAGAUCGGAAGGAACAUCAGUGGCGAAGGCGACUCACUGGCCUAUAACUGACGCUGAGGCGCGAAGGCGUGGGGAGCAAACAGG